CGUUAGCGGCGGACGGGUGAGUAACACGUGGGUAACCUACCUAUAAGACUGGAAUAACUCCGGGAAACCGGGGCUAAUGCCGGAUAACAUGUUGAACCGCAUGGUUCUACAGUGAAAGACGGUCUUGCUGUCACUUAUAGAUGGACCCGCGCCGUAUUAGCUAGUUGGUGGGGUAACGGCCUACCAAGGCGACGAUACGUAGCCGACCUGAGAGGGUGAUCGGCCACACUGGAACUGAGACACGGUCCAGACUCCUACGGGAGGCAGCAGUAGGGAAUCUUCCGCAAUGGGCGAAAGCCUGACGGAGCAACGCCGCGUGAGUGAUGAAGGUCUUCGGAUCGUAAAGCUCUGUUGUUAGGGAAGAACAAAUGUGUAAGUAACUGUGCACAUCUUGACGGUACCUAACCAGAAAGCCACGGCUAACUACGUGCCAGCAGCCGCGGUAAUACGUAGGUGGCAAGCGUUAUCCGGAAUUAUUGGGCGUAAAGCGCGCGUAGGCGGUUUUUUAAGUCUGAUGUGAAAGCCCACGGCUCAACCGUGGAGGGUCAUUGGAAACUGGAAAACUUGAGUGCAGAAGAGGAAAGUGGAAUUCCAUGUGUAGCGGUGAAAUGCGCAGAGAUAUGGAGGAACACCAGUGGCGAAGGCGGCUUUCUGGUCUGCAACUGACGCUGAUGUGCGAAAGCGUGGGGAUCAAACAGGAUUAGAUACCCUGGUAGUCCACGCCGUAAACGAUGAGUGCUAAGUGUUAGGGGGUUUCCGCCCCUUAGUGCUGCAGCUAAGGCAUUAAGCACUCCGCCUGGCGAGUACGGUCGCAAGACUGAGACUCAAAGGAAUUGACGGGGACCCGCAC
This 850-nucleotide ribosomal RNA is filed under the name Staphylococcus pseudintermedius. RNAcentral describes it as "bacterial SSU rRNA". It matches the Rfam family "Bacterial small subunit ribosomal RNA", at positions 90 to 926 of the family's 1533-position model. The record is from RNAcentral. Lineage: Bacteria; Bacillati; Bacillota; Bacilli; Caryophanales; Staphylococcaceae.